RNAcentral lists this long non-coding RNA (629 nucleotides) under Pongo abelii (Sumatran orangutan). Its description in RNAcentral is "lincRNA". Lineage: Eukaryota; Metazoa; Chordata; Mammalia; Primates; Hominidae. The record is from RNAcentral.
GGGCAGAGUUUUUCAAAGUGAGAUCUGAGGACCACCUGCAUCAGUCUUGAGGUGCUUGGGUGCUUCCGUUUAAAAUGCUGAUUACUGGUUCCACUCCCAGGGGAGGGGGGAAUGAGUGUGGCAGCCUAUGUAGUUCAAAAAUAUUUGUUUUCCCUCCCUGGGAGAAAAUUAUAUUCCUCUGUCUACUGUCAGAUUUGGCCAUCGCAGACUUAGCUGUAAAUAUUUCAGCAUAUGUAUCUAAAAGAUAACUGUUUUAGAAAACAUAAUCAUGGCCAGGCCCAGUGGCUCACGCCUGUAAUCCCAGCACUUUGGGAGGCCAAGGUGGGUGGAUCACGAGGUCAGGAGUUCCUGGCCAACAUAGUGAAACCCCGUCUCUACCAAAAAUACAAAAAUUAGCCGGGCAUGGUGGUGUGCGCCUGGAGUCCCAGCUACUCGGGAGGCUGAGGCAGGAGAAUGGCGUGAACCCGGGAGGUGGAGGUUGUGGUGAGCCAAGAUUGCACCACUGCACUCCAUCCUGGGUGACAGAGCGAGACUGUUUCAAAACAACAACAAAAAAGAAAACCACUUUAUCACUGUCACACCUAAACAACUUUGAUAAAAACUUAUCAAAUAAAUAUUCAGUGUUUAAA